Molecule: ribosomal RNA, 433 nt
Filed under: uncultured bacterium
Lineage: Bacteria
Description: partial 16S ribosomal RNA
Rfam family: Bacterial small subunit ribosomal RNA
Source: RNAcentral
AACGAACGCUGGCGGCAUGCCUAACACAUGCAAGUCGAACGAGACCUUCGGGUCUAGUGGCGCACGGGUGCGUAACGCGUGGGAACCUGCCCUUAGGUUCGGAAUAACUCCCCGAAAGGGGUGCUAAUACCGGAUAAUGUCUUCGGACCAAAGAUUUAUCGCCUUUGGAUGGGCCCGCGUUGGAUUAGCUAGUUGGUAGGGUAAAAGCCUACCAAGGCGACGAUCCAUAGCUGGUCUGAGAGGAUGAUCAGCCACACUGGGACUGAGACACGGCCCAGACUCCUACGGGAGGCAGCAGUGGGGAAUAUUGGACAAUGGACGAAAGCCUGAUCCAGCAAUGCCGCGUGAGUGAUGAAGGCCUUAGGGUUGUAAAGCUCUUUUACCCGGGAUGAUAAUGACAGUACCGGGAGAAUAAGCUCCGGCUAACUCCGUG